Long non-coding RNA from Acinonyx jubatus (cheetah), 5173 nucleotides. RefSeq lists it as uncharacterized. NCBI's taxonomy places the organism in Eukaryota, Metazoa, Chordata, Mammalia, Carnivora, Felidae. The record is from RefSeq and is a predicted model, not a curated record. The transcript has 2 exons.
CUUGGGUGCCGCCCCCUUUCCGGGCCGCGUAGUUGGGUUGCAGCGCACCAGAGGGCAGUAUGAAGAGGUGAAAGGUCACGUUAUGUAAGCGCUGGUGACAGGCCUGCGGGCCUCCAGCGGCGGAGUUGAAAAUGGGGGUCAGCGGGGGACCGAAAGGCCUGGAAUUCAAAGAGGGGCUUGGUGGAAAGGAUCAUACAGCAGCUUCUUUGGAAAAAUAUACUAAAAGACAUACCUAGUAAAGAUACAUCCAUUAAUUCUAAUAGUCUUUCGCAGCACCUCCAAAGUUGAGGGCUCUGGACUGGGAGCUUCAGAGGAAAAACAAAAAAUAAGACAGAGACUGUUCUGAGAAAACAAGAGGCACGAAUAAUGCCAGUUCGGUGAAGAGUGCUGUCCGAAGUGCAGUCAGAAGACAGCAGUGACUGCCUGGAGAGGGACGACAUUUGAGCUGCUUCCCCGAGCACACUACACCCACGUAGUCCAAACUAUGUCCUACCCAGGACAAGCCGAAACACUCACGGAUAAUUCUCUCCCUAAUUAAAUUGUCCCCUUCCGUUCAAAGAUCUUCACUGGCCUCAGAACAUACCUCCCCAGCCUGUUCUUCAACAGGGCGGAGAAAGCGGGGGUGCAUGGCAGUGCCAGACCCUUUUCUUAUCUUGAGGUGAGAAGUCUCCCCCCAGGGAAGGGUAAGUACCAGGUCAGUCGCCAUCCCAAUGGAGCCUCCUCUGGUCACCUAGCAGAGAUAGGACUGCAUCCUCCUUCGGUAGCUAUUUCUUCUAAAAGGAUUAUGAGCAACCUCGGAGGACAGGACAUUUGAGUCGAUUGUGAAAAGGUGAGUGGCAUUUCACUAAGCAGAGAAAUGAGGGACGAACAUUCUAGGCAGAAGGAGCCGCAGAGCCUUCUUGAUAGAUUCAGGACAGCACACCUUAAAACGUAGGGAUUUUGAGGUGGAAAGUAUCAAGAUAUGAGGGUGGCAACGGAAGUGAUCAUCCGGGCCACAGCGUGUGAUGGCUAGAGUGGCGUAGUUAUUUGUGGCAGGGAUACCAAGGGACCCAAAUGUAACAAAAUCAAGGGAGACAGGUGGACAGAUUGGAGAGGCACAGACGAGGUGACUAAUGGGACGGACAUUUGCAGGACUAGAUCCCCGGUAGCAGACUACACACAGGAUAAGGACUCCAACAACAUUAAGAGACAAAUUUUGGAAAAAUUGGUAUUUCAAAAUAGUGUCUAACUGCCCAUGAGAGUGGGGACCAUCAUCAUUUCAGCGCUUGGGGCCACUGUAAGCUGAAUCCAGCCCUGGUGUUGGUAAAGCAGAGAUCUAAAAUGGGAGAAUCAGUGGGGACCUGGGUGGCUCAGUGGGUCAAGUGUCCGACUUCGGCUCAGGUCACGAUCUCGCGGUUUGUGAGUUCGAGCCCCAAGUCGGGCUCUGUGCUGACAGCUCGGAGCCCGCUUGGGAUUCUCUCUCACGCUCGUUCUGCCCCAGCCCUGCUUGUGCCCACUCUCUCAAAUUAAAUAAAUAAACUUAAAAAAAAAAAAUAGCAAAAAUGUGACUUUUGCUUGGUGUGUCCUCCACUUCUGUGGGUCAAAUUUACAAAUGAUAAAGUUGAUUAACAUGAGAUUUUACCAUCUUGUCCUGAAGAUGUUGAGGAAAACUAUAGGGGGCACCUGGCUGGCUCAGUCAGUGGAGUAUGUGACUCUUGAUUUCAGGAUCAUGAGUCGAAGCCCCAUUUUGCAUAAAGCUUACUCAAAAGAAUAAUAAUAAAUUUAAAAAUUUUUUAGAGAAAGAAAAAAAAAUGAAAGAGACUGUUAAUGUAACUAUCAGUUUCCUGCUCUAAUAUUUUCAUUGACUCUUGUUGCAGUCAAACUUUUUUGUUUUAAUUUUUAUUUUUAACAUGUAUUUAUUUUCGAGAGAGAGAGAAAGAGAGAUUGUGGGCUGGGGAGGGGCAGAGAGAAGCGGAGACACAGAAUCUGAAGCAGGCUCCAGGCUCUGAACUGUCAGUACAGAGCCUGAUGCAGGGCUCAAACUCACAAGCCUCGUGAGAUCAUGACCUGAGCCUCUCAACCAACUGAGCCACCCAGGUGCCUCCUCAGUCCUCAGACUCUUAACCCAGCAGGCCCCUACUGGACUACUUCCUCCUAAUUCCCAGAAUUCAUUAGCUUUAUUCCUACCCACCGCUGGAAAUGGACUUUUUUCUCCUCUGUGGAUUUCAACCCAAUACUUCCUUCCUAAUGCCUUUUCCCAAUUGUUCCAGCCCACAUCCGCUUUUACUAUACUCUCAAGUUUUUUUUUUUACCAUAAUUUUAGCAAAAUUCAUUGUUCAAUGUGUUUUCUUUCCUAACAUUUGAAUGAACAAGUUAAUCCAAAAAGGAAGAGAUUAAAAUGUGUAGCUUCCAGGGAUCUGCACCAAAGCUUCUAUUGCUCCAAGUCGGCUGUGGCUGCUUAGUCGCAGGAAUAAGACUGUCCAAGGAAGUGUAGCCAUUUCCCUACAUGGAUCUCCACUGGGUAGUUUUAGGACAUGAGCUCAGUCAGCAAGAUCUGUUUCUGUGGUCUGUAUCAUGUGGAGCUAUGCCCUGCCACAUAGUCCUCGUUCAUUGAUGCAGGCACAAACCUUUGCUUAGACAGUUCCGGCUCCUGCCUGGGCUUUUCCUCCCUGUCCUGCUGGUUCCUUAAACUCAAAACAUCCCAGAGCCACGAUCUUACCGUCUUCCUUCCCUCCAUCAUCUGCUUUAUCAGAAUGGUUUUCAUUUUUAUUAACGGCCCACCUUCCUCACAACCUCACGGGCUCAGGUUUGACCUCUCUUGAGCUCCACGGGCAUAGGAUCAACCAGACAAUGUCAGUUCUUGAACUGUCCUCCUGCCAUCCCCACAGCAUCCUAUUUCAGGCCUCUAUUAUUUCUGGCCAAAACUACUAUAAUGCCUUUCUUCUUUUGAAAUGUUUUAGGGGUGCCUCUCAAUUGGUAGAGCAUGCUGCUCUCAAUCUUAGGGUUGUGAAUUCAAGCCCCAACGUUGGGCAUGGAACCUACUUACAAGUAAAAGUUUUAAACUCCGUUAAAAUUAUGUCUUUUUUAUGGUAAAAUGAACAUAGUUCCCCAAAAGAAACAUUUAAAUGUACUUUAAAAAACAACAACAGGGGCGCCUAAGUGACUCAGUCAGGUAAGGUCCGACUUUAGCUCAGAUCAUGCUCUCACAGUUCGUGAGUUCAAGGCCCACCUUGGGCUCUGUGCUGACAGCUCAGAGCCUAGAGCCUGCUUCAAAUUCUGUGUCUCCCUCUCUCUGCCCCUCCCCCGCUCGUAUACUGUCUCUCUUCCCUCUGUAUCAAAAAUAAUAAACGUUUAAAAAUAAAAAUAAAAAAACAGCAAUAAAAAACAUCAACAAAUAGUUCUACAAAAAUCAGCCCUAGAGCACUUUCCCCAUCCACUUCCUGUUCCCUCAAGCACUCAUUUUCAAAUUGUUAAACUGUGUUAAAUUGGUAAAAGGAAACUUCAUUGUUUUUAAUGUUUUAUUUUUGAGAGAGAGAGAGCAAGAGAGAGUGAGAAUGGGGGAGGGGCAGAGAGAGAGGAAGACACAAUCCAAAGCAGGCUCCAGGAUCUGAGCCGCCAGCACAGAGCCUGACCCAAGGCUCAAACUCCUGAACCACAAGAUCAUAGCCUGAGCCGAAGCCUGAGGCUUAACCAACUGAGCCACCCAGGCAGCCCCCGGAUUCCAUUUUAAUGAAGUUUCCUAGGGGCACCUAAAUGUUUCAGUCAGUUAAGCGGAGGACUUCGGCUCAGGUCAAUGAUCUCACAGCUUGUGGUUCGAGCUCCACGUGGGACUCUCAGCUGCCAGCUCAGAGCCUGGAGCCUGCUUCCGAUUCUGUGUCUCCCUGUCUCUCUGCUCCUCCCCUAAUCAUACACUCUCUCUCAAAAAUAAACAUUCAAAAAAAAAAAAUCUAUGGAAGAAAUUUCCAACUUCUUUUUUUUAAGUUUAUUUUUGAGAGACAGAUUUCGAAAUAACAUAUAUGUUGCUAUGUUUGUUUCUCAGUUUUAACGUUAGCUGUUGUCAUUCUUCAAUGGAAGAUGAGGUCUCACCUCCCCCACAAAUACCAUACACAAUCAUAUUCCCCAAAUAAUUAUUGCAAUUGGUUAAAUCCACAUUCAGUGUCUAACUUAUGAUUAUUAUUCAUAGAUGAUCCACAUGGUGAACUGAUUACAUUUCUUUUCUUUUGUUUUCACUGGUUUGCAUCAGUCUAUUUCCACUUCCUUUUCUAAGUACCUAUCACUACUGUAUCCCUCAACUGACACAACUCUAAGACUCCUCUCAAUACAUGCAAACCUAGCAAGUCUUCCUAUUUGUCCCCUGCCUCUUUCCUUUCCUAGGCAUUUCGAACACAAUCUCACUCCCCUGCUCUGGGCUUUCAAUGGCUGGCUCUCUAAAGUCAACAAAGUAAAAUCAAGCUCUUUGGUCUGGCCUUCCAGGCCCUCCACAAUCUGUCCUCAGUCUUUUUCCUACUUCCCUCAAACCCCUUACUCCAGUAAACUAGAUUUAUCUAGGUUUCUAAAUACCAUUCCCCACUAAAAGGAUCCAGGGCUCCUGGGAAAAAGGAAUGGGGCUAGCAAAGUUCAAGGUGAGUCAGGAACAACUUGUGCCUAAAAGUAAAGAAGUGCUCAAAUAGAGAUGGGGACAUGUCAAAAGGACUUGCUUGGGAGCCAGCAUGAAGGGAUUCUAACUGACUAAAUCUGGGACAAUUUGAACAUUAAAAAAAAAAAAAAUGACAGCAACAGAUUGUGGCACAUUGAAUGUAAGGGGAAAUCAUGAGCCAUAGUAAUAUUCAGAGAGAAGAUCGCUUCUAGGCCUUUUGGCUAAGAUCAAGUGCAGAGAAAGGAGGGAGGGAAGGAAGGAAGGAAGAAAGGAAUGGACGGAGGAAGGGAGAAAGAGGAAAGAAAAGAAAGGGAGAAAGAAGAAAGAAUAAGGGAAAGGAAGAAAGAAAAAGAAAAGAAAAGAGGAAGGGCAAUGUGCUAUUUACAGAAGGCUGCCAGUGAAUGAAUGUGAAAAGAAUGUUGGAUUUAGAAAACUCACCAUUUUGCAGACUCUAGGGAAGUAACUUGAUUCAGAAAUGGACCAUCAAUGGAUGCUAAAAUCACUGGUCUAAGUGAAUGGUCUAAGAUUAUCACCCGCCCCCCCCCCCCGACCUACAAA